This 207-nucleotide ribosomal RNA is filed under the name uncultured bacterium. RNAcentral's name for it is "partial 16S ribosomal RNA". It matches the Rfam family "Bacterial small subunit ribosomal RNA", at positions 568 to 774 of the family's 1533-position model. The record is from RNAcentral.
CUCGUAGGUGGUUCGUCACGUCGGAUGUGAAACUCUGGGGCUUAACCCCAGACCUGCAUUCGAUACGGGCGAGCUUGAGUAUGGUAGGGGAGUCUGGAAUUCCUGGUGUAGCGGUGGAAUGCGCAGAUAUCAGGAGGAACACCAAUGGCGAAGGCAGGACUCUGGGCCAUUACUGACACUGAGGAGCGAAAGCGUGGGGAACGAACA